UACAGAGGGGGCAAGCGUUGUUCGGAAUUACUGGGCGUAAAGGGCGCGUAGGCGGCCCGCUAAGUCGAACGUGAAAUCCCCGGGCUUAACCCGGGAACUGCGUCCGAUACUGGCAGGCUUGAAUCCGGGAGAGGGAUGUGGAAUUCCAGGUGUAGCGGUGAAAUGCGCAGAUAUCAGGAGGAACACCGAUGGCGAAGGCAGGUCUCUGGGCAUUAACUGACGCUGAGGAGCGAAAGCAUGGGGAGCGAACAGG
This 253-nucleotide ribosomal RNA is filed under the name uncultured bacterium. RNAcentral's name for it is "partial 16S ribosomal RNA". It matches the Rfam family "Bacterial small subunit ribosomal RNA", at positions 524 to 776 of the family's 1533-position model. The record is from RNAcentral.